AUGAAGGUUUUCGGAUCGUAAAACUCUGUUGUUAGGGAAGAACAAGUACCGUUCGAAUAGGGCGGUACCGUGACGGUACCUAACCAGAAAGCCACGGCUAACUACGUGCCAGCAGCCGCGGUAAUACGUAGGUGGCGAGCGUUAUCCGGAAUUAUUGGGCGUAAAGCGCGCGCAGGCGGUUUCUUAAGUCUGAUGUGAAAACCCACGGCUCAACCGUGGAGAGUCAUUGGAAACUGGGGAACUUGAGUGCAGAAGAGAAAAGCGGAAUUCCACGUGUAGCGGUGAAAUGCGUAGAGAUGUGGAGGAACACCAGUGGCGAAGGCGGCUUUUUGGUCUGUAACUGACGCUGAGGCGCGAAAGCGUGGGGAGCAAACAGGAUUAGAUACCCUGGUAGUCCACGCCGUAAACGAUGAGUGCUAAGUGUUAGAGGGUUUCCGCCCUUUAGUGCUGCAGCUAACGCAUUAAGCACUCCGCCUGGGGAGUACGGUCGCGAGACUGAAACUCAAAGGAA
This 511-nucleotide ribosomal RNA is filed under the name uncultured Bacilli bacterium. RNAcentral describes it as "bacterial SSU rRNA". It matches the Rfam family "Bacterial small subunit ribosomal RNA", at positions 408 to 909 of the family's 1533-position model. Lineage: Bacteria; Bacillati; Bacillota; Bacilli. The record is from RNAcentral.